GCCCCGCGGCCGUGAAGAAUCCUGGGGCGGAGCGCGGGCCUGAAAGUGUCUAGCGGUAGUUCUCAGGCUGCUUGCGGUUGAGACCGCAGGAAUAGCGGGAGCGCAGCGUUGCAUUGAGUUGUCUUUGGGAUCCUCUCUGAGGAAGAGCGGCAUCCCUGGCUCCUGAAGCGCAGGACCCAGGAGGUCAGGAAACAGCGCAAGGGUCUUAGGAGAGACAUCCCAGGGACAGAGGUGGGAGCUUCUACCCCCAACUCAUU
Bubalus bubalis (water buffalo) is the source of this 257-nucleotide long non-coding RNA. RefSeq lists it as uncharacterized. The transcript has 3 exons. The record is from RefSeq and is a predicted model, not a curated record. Lineage: Eukaryota; Metazoa; Chordata; Mammalia; Artiodactyla; Bovidae.